RNAcentral lists this small nuclear RNA (149 nucleotides) under Carlito syrichta (Philippine tarsier). RNAcentral's name for it is "U1 spliceosomal RNA (ENSTSYG00000022580.2)". It matches the Rfam family "U1 spliceosomal RNA". Rfam says of the family: U1 is a small nuclear RNA (snRNA) component of the spliceosome (involved in pre-mRNA splicing). Lineage: Eukaryota; Metazoa; Chordata; Mammalia; Primates; Tarsiidae. The record is from RNAcentral.
CCACUUACCUGACAGGGGAGAUACCAUGAUCAUGAAGGUGGUUUUUCAUGGGUGAGACUCAUCCAUUGCAUUCUGGAUGUAUUGAUUUCCCCAAACAAGAGAAAUAAAUAAAAUAAUGCAGGGGCGGGGCAUGGUGGCUCAUACCUGUA